GAUGAACGCUGGCGGUAUGCCUAACACAUGCAAGUCGUACGAGGGUUUUUAACUCUAGUGGCGGACGGGUGAGUAACACGUGAGAAUUUGCCUUUAGGAGGGGGAUAACAAUCGGAAACGAAUGCUAAUACCCCAUAUGCUUUUGAGUGAAACGGACUUAUCCGCCUAAAGAGAAGCUCGCGGCUGAUUAGCUUGUUGGUAAGGUAAGAGCUUACCAAGGCGACGAUCAGUAUCUGGUUUGAGAGGACGAUCAGACACACUGGAACUGAGACACGGUCCAGACUCCUACGGGAGGCAGCAGUGGGGAAUUUUCCGCAAUGGGCGAAAGCCUGACGGAGCAAUACCGCGUGAGGGAAGAAUGCCUAUGGGUUGUAAACCUCUUUUUUCAGGGAGGAAUAAAAUGACGUGUACCUGAAGAAUAAGCAUCGGCUAACUCCGUGCC
RNAcentral lists this ribosomal RNA (442 nucleotides) under uncultured eukaryote. RNAcentral describes it as "bacterial SSU rRNA". It matches the Rfam family "Bacterial small subunit ribosomal RNA", at positions 28 to 509 of the family's 1533-position model. The record is from RNAcentral.